Molecule: long non-coding RNA, 291 nt
Organism: Humulus lupulus (European hop)
Lineage: Eukaryota; Viridiplantae; Streptophyta; Magnoliopsida; Rosales; Cannabaceae
Exons: 3
Source: RefSeq, a predicted model, not a curated record
CCAGGAUCUUGCAAAUGUUACUUCUUAUCGAGAAUGGGUGUUAUUUUGGUAUCUUGUUUGUCCAGAUGAGUUGCUUCAUGUUACUAGCAUCGAUAUUGCUAUGGUGGUACUGAAAGAAAAUCUAGUUCUAACAUUAUUUAGGGAUGAGUAUAUACUUCUGCAUGAGGAAUAUCAGCUCUAUGUUCUACCCAGAAUUUUGGAAUCAAAGAGGACGGCAAAAUCUGGACGCACCAAGCAAAAAGAAGCAGAUUUGGAAUAUAGUGUUGCAAAGAAGGUUGAAAAAUUGAUUAG